GGUGAGAUGGCCGAGCGGUCUAAGGCGCCAGACUAAGGUUCAUGCCCAUAUGCUGUGGCGUGCUGUCUAAAUCUGGUCUCGUCGGGGGCGGGAGUUCGAAUCUCCCUCUCAUCA
Termitomyces sp. Mi166#008 is the source of this 114-nucleotide non-coding RNA. The record is from the annotation of a GenBank genome assembly. NCBI's taxonomy places the organism in Eukaryota, Fungi, Basidiomycota, Agaricomycetes, Agaricales, Lyophyllaceae.